RNAcentral lists this ribosomal RNA (348 nucleotides) under Astatumen trinacriae. Its description in RNAcentral is "SSU rRNA". It matches the Rfam family "Eukaryotic small subunit ribosomal RNA", at positions 594 to 945 of the family's 1831-position model. The record is from RNAcentral. Lineage: Eukaryota; Metazoa; Tardigrada; Eutardigrada; Parachela; Hypsibiidae.
AUAGCGUAUAUUAAAGUUGCUGCGGUUAAAAAGCUCGUAGUUGGAUCUGGGUAGUCGAUGAGCGGUGCGCCGUAAGGCGCUACUGCUCGUUCGGCACCACAUGCCGGCCAUGUCUCGCAUGCUCUUCAUUGAGUGUGCUUGGCGACCGGAACGUUUACUUUGAAAAAAUUAGAGUGCUCAAAGCAGGCGUUAAGCCUUGCAUAAUGGUGCAUGGAAUAAUAAAAUAAGACCUUGGUUCUAUUUUGUUGGCUUUCGGAGCUCAAGGUAAUGAUUAAUAGGAACAGACGGGGGCAUUCGUAUUGCGGCGUUAGAGGUGAAAUUCUUGGAUCGUCGCAAGACGCACUACUG